This 195-nucleotide ribosomal RNA is filed under the name uncultured bacterium. Its description in RNAcentral is "partial 16S ribosomal RNA". It matches the Rfam family "Bacterial small subunit ribosomal RNA", at positions 1300 to 1500 of the family's 1533-position model. The record is from RNAcentral.
GGAGUCUGCAACUCGACUCCAUGAAGCUGGAUUCGCUAGUAAUCGCGCAUCAGCCAUGGCGCGGUGAAUACGUUCCCGGGCCUUGUACACACCGCCCGUCAAGCCAUGGGAGUCGGGAGUGCCUGAAGUUCGUGACCGUCACAGGAGCGACCUAAGGCAAGACCGAUGACUGGGGCUAAGUCGUAACAAGGUAAC